Non-coding RNA from Podarcis lilfordi (Lilford's wall lizard), 322 nucleotides. The record is from the annotation of a GenBank genome assembly. Lineage: Eukaryota; Metazoa; Chordata; Lepidosauria; Squamata; Lacertidae.
UAAAGAUAGCUCAGUUGGUAGAGCAUGAAGAAGAAGAAGAAGAGUUUGGAUUUGAUAUUCCGCCUUUCACUCCCUUUAAGGAGUCUCAAAGCGGCUAACAAUCUCCUUUCCCUUCCUCCCACACAACAAACAUUCUGUGAGGUGAGUGGGGCUGAGAGACUUCAAAGAAGUGUGACUGGCCCAAGGUCACCCAGCAGCUGCAUGUGGAGGAGCAGGGAAGCGAACCCGGUUCCCCAGAUUACGAGAUUACCGCUCUUAACCACUACACCACACUGGCUCUCAAAUCUCAGGGUUGUGGGUUCAAGCCCCACAUUGGGCAAAA